GCUGACACAUCCCAGCCAAUCUCCAGCAGACCCUCCCUCCCAGACCCUCCCACCUCCUGGACAGCAUCCAUGUUGAAGCUGCCUUCAACAUGGAUGCUGUCCAGGAAGUAGGAGGGUCUGGGAGGGAGGGUCUGCUGGAGCUUGGCCGGGAUGUGUCAG
Molecule: non-coding RNA, 159 nt
Organism: Pelobates cultripes (western spadefoot toad)
Lineage: Eukaryota; Metazoa; Chordata; Amphibia; Anura; Pelobatidae
Source: the annotation of a GenBank genome assembly